Monodelphis domestica (gray short-tailed opossum) is the source of this 1069-nucleotide long non-coding RNA. RefSeq lists it as uncharacterized. The record is from RefSeq and is a predicted model, not a curated record. Lineage: Eukaryota; Metazoa; Chordata; Mammalia; Didelphimorphia; Didelphidae.
GGGAGGGGCGGGGUCCUCGGAUUGCUGACCAGUGCACCCGCAUUCCAUAGAGAGUAAACAAACGUGAGCGAGCCUGCGUGCCUUCCCUGCCAGACUGUGUGGAGAGAACGGGAGCAGCAGAAGUUCAGUGUUGCAGCUGGGUAAUUAAUGUCACUGCUGGCACGGCUUCUCCCUGCUGACUCGCCUGCCUGACCUCCCAGCGCAGCACAGUAUCAGUCCUUGAUGCUAUCACAGUCCUGCUGAGCCAAACUUACAACUAAAUGGUUAAACGUUAACUGAAGCCAGGGGUGGGGGAUGGAGAGCCAGACUCGUGUUUCCAUGAAGACAAAGAAGGGAGCCUGUACUGUGUGAUAUAAAGUUCAGGUGCUUAUUGGCCAUAUAGCCAAAGAUCUCAACAAAUGCUAGCAGAUAAUGGUAUUGUAAGACUCUGAAGAUCAGCAUAAGAAAGAGCUUUCUUCUAACAAUUAGCGCUGUCCAACAAUGGGAAAGGUUGUUCUACAGAGGCCAGGCAUGAAUGGUGACCAGCUCCUAAUGGCCAAAAGCCUUUGAUCACAGGCUGAAGUCCAAAGGGUUUAAGCCAACAAGGUGAGCAUGUUGGAUCACGAGUCUUACGCAGGGGGUCAGGUGGCAAGCCAUGGAAACCCCACAUUCUGACAGAAGCUCAAGCUCUUGUUCUCUUCUGUAAGGUGUGAACAAAGACAGGAAAGAAAAGUCUAGAAUGGAGAUGAUGAAUCCAGUUUCAUGGAGAUAUUUAUGAACCACUGAAGUGUUUCCUUUCUUCAAAGGCCCUAUCUAAAUGCCACUUAUUCCAUGAAGUCUUUCCUGUUGUCUUUCUCCAAUUAAACAAAUGUUCUUUUUUCCUCCCCAAGCUUCUCAUGGAUAUUACCUGAAUCUUUACUCUGAACUCAUUACACUCUCCAUUAUGUUGCGGUUAUUUCUUUUUUCUCUCCCAGUGAAUUAUAAUUUCUUUGGGACUAUGAUAUGAGCAAUAACUUUUUAUUUGAACCCUGAAUAUUUAACAGUGGCUUAAAUAGCAUAACUCUUUUUAAUGAAUUCGUGCUGGAUUUAC